AUAGCCGAGUGUAACCGGUACCGAGUGUAGCCGACAUUGGCCGCAUUUAGGCAAAGAGCCGAAUAUGACCGACUUUAGCCCAACCGGGCCGAAGUUCUGCCGAAGAGCCGGAAAAGCCGAAUUUAGACGAAAAGCCGAACCGAAACGAUUUUAGACCUAAGCCGAACCAAGCCUAAUUUAGCCGAGUUUAUUUAAACAGAACCGAACGACGCCGCAGCGCUCUGCCUGCACAGCGCCGGUGCAGACGGCAGGGGGCGGUGUAUAAAGGUGCUCAGAAAGCAUGCGUCCCUUAGAGUCCCACGGAAAGGUUCUCAGUGCGCUCUCUAUCAAGUGCUAUGAGUCUUGAUAAAUGGGAGAAGAGCCCAAGAGAAAUUUUUCAUCCCUUGAUAUAAAAGGGAUCGGUGAAUUUUAACUUUGGAGUCCUCUGUGCUAAGGAUGCUCAGCUUACCGAUGAUGAAAUGUUCAGUAAUGUAUUUGCUGCAGCUCUGCUUACCCAAGCUUUGGGUUCCUUCUGUCCCACUGGGAGUGGCCCAAUUUGGUUGCAUCUGGUGAAAUUCACCCUGAGACCUUACAGAACCAGCUCCAACUACGUGAGAGCCAUUUGCAGUUCUCUCCAGACA
Molecule: long non-coding RNA, 620 nt
Organism: Melospiza georgiana
Lineage: Eukaryota; Metazoa; Chordata; Aves; Passeriformes; Passerellidae
Exons: 5
Source: RefSeq, a predicted model, not a curated record